RNAcentral lists this ribosomal RNA (253 nucleotides) under uncultured bacterium. RNAcentral describes it as "partial 16S ribosomal RNA". It matches the Rfam family "Bacterial small subunit ribosomal RNA", at positions 524 to 776 of the family's 1533-position model. The record is from RNAcentral.
UACGAGGGGGGCGAGCGUUGUUCGGACUUAUUGGGCGUAAAGGGUGCGUAUGCGGUUUGGUAAGUCUUAUGUGAAAUCUACAGGCUCAACUUGUAGUCUGCAUGAGAAACUGCCGGGCUUGAGUAUGGGAGAGGUGAGUGGAAUUCCUGGUGUAGCGGUGAAAUGCGUAGAUAUCAGGAGGAACACCUGUGGCGAAAGCGGCUCACUGGACCAUAACUGACGCUGAUGCACGAAAGCUAGGGGAGCAAACAGG